Molecule: ribosomal RNA, 344 nt
Filed under: Boulengerochromis microlepis (giant cichlid)
Lineage: Eukaryota; Metazoa; Chordata; Actinopteri; Cichliformes; Cichlidae
Description: partial 12S ribosomal RNA
Rfam family: Bacterial small subunit ribosomal RNA
Source: RNAcentral
UUGAUAGCCCCCUACACCCGCUAUCCGCCCGGGUACUACGAGCACUAGCUUAAAACCCAAAGGACUUGGCGGUGCUUUAGAUCCACCUAGAGGAGCCUGUUCUAGAACCGAUAACCCCCGUUAAACCUCACCCUCUCUUGUUCUUCCCGCCUAUAUACCGCCGUCGUCAGCCUACCCUGUGAAGGAUCCGCAGUAAGCAAGAUUAGUACAACUCAAAACGCCAGGUCGAGGUGUAGCAUAUGAGAGGGAAAGAAAUGGGCUACAUUCCCUGCCGCAGGGAAUACGAACAAUGUAAUGAAACAGACAUUAGAAGGAGGAUUUAGCAGUAAGCAGAAAAUAGAGAG